RNAcentral lists this ribosomal RNA (266 nucleotides) under uncultured Planctomycetota bacterium. RNAcentral's name for it is "uncultured planctomycete partial 16S ribosomal RNA". It matches the Rfam family "Bacterial small subunit ribosomal RNA", at positions 565 to 829 of the family's 1533-position model. The record is from RNAcentral. Lineage: Bacteria; Pseudomonadati; Planctomycetota.
GAGCACGUAGGUGGGUUUGUAAGUCAGAUGUGAAAGCCUUCUGUUCAAAGGAAGAACGGCAUCUGAAACUGCAGAUCUUGAGUGUAGGAGGGGAGAGUGGAACUUCUGGUGGAGCGGUGGAAUGCAUAGAUAUCAGAAGGAACGUCGGCGGCGAAAGCAACUCUCUGGCCUAUUACUGACACUGAGUGUGCGAAAGUUAGGGGAGCAAACGGGAUUAGAUACCCCGGUAGUCCUAACCGUAAACGAUGGGCACUAAGUAGAGGGGU